This 102-nucleotide ribosomal RNA is filed under the name Brugia pahangi. Its description in RNAcentral is "partial 5.8S ribosomal RNA". It matches the Rfam family "5.8S ribosomal RNA", at positions 51 to 152 of the family's 154-position model. Rfam says of the family: 5.8S ribosomal RNA (5.8S rRNA) is a component of the large subunit of the eukaryotic ribosome. It is transcribed by RNA polymerase I as part of the 45S precursor that also contains 18S and 28S rRNA. Lineage: Eukaryota; Metazoa; Nematoda; Chromadorea; Rhabditida; Onchocercidae. The record is from RNAcentral.
AGCUGCGAUAAAUAGUGCGAAUUGCAGACGCAUUGAGCACAAAAAUUUCGAAUGCACAUUGCACCAUUGGGUUGAUUCCCGAUGGUACGUCUGGUUGAGGGU